RNAcentral lists this ribosomal RNA (256 nucleotides) under uncultured bacterium. RNAcentral's name for it is "partial 16S ribosomal RNA". It matches the Rfam family "Bacterial small subunit ribosomal RNA", at positions 524 to 777 of the family's 1533-position model. The record is from RNAcentral.
UACAGAGGUCUCAAGCGUUGUUCGGAUUCAUUGGGCGUAAAGGGUGUGUAGGUGGCGCCGUAAGUCGGGUGUGAAAUUUCGGAGCUUAACUCCGAAACUGCAUUCGAUACUGCGGUGCUUUGAGGACUGGGAGAGGAGACUGGAAUUCAUGGUGUAGCAGUGAAAUGCGUAGAGAUCAUGAGGAAGACCAGUGGCGAAGGCGGGUCUCUGGACAGUUCCUGACACUGAGACACGAAGGCCAGGGGAGCAAACGGGG